AAUAGAUACCCCGGUAGUCCACGCCGUAAACGAUGGGUGCUAGGUGUUGGGGGGGACCCCCCUCAGUGCCGCAGGUAACCCAAUAAGCACUCCGCCUGGGGAGUACGGUCGCAAGACUGAAACUCAAAGGAAUUGACGGGGGGCCCGCACAAGCGGUGGAGCAUGUGGUUUAAUUCGAAGCAACGCGAAGAACCUUACCAGGGCUUGACAUCCCGCUGACCGGUGUAGAGAUACGCCUUUCCCCUUCGGGGGACAGCGGUGACAGGUGGUGCAUGGUCGUCGUCAGCUCGUGUCGUGAGAUGUUGGGUUCAGUCCCGCAACGAGCGCAACCCUUGUUUCUAGUUGCCAGCACUUCGGGUGGGCACUCUAGAGAGACAGCCGGUGAAAGCCGGAGGAAGGUGGGGAUGACGUCAAAUCAUCAUGCCCCUUAUGUCCUGGGCUACACACGUGCUACAAUGGCUGGUACAAAGGGCAGCGAACCCGCGAGGGGGAGCCAAUCCCAAAAAACCAGUCUCAGUUCGGAUUGCAGGCUGCAACUCG
Molecule: ribosomal RNA, 540 nt
Filed under: uncultured bacterium
Lineage: Bacteria
Description: partial 16S ribosomal RNA
Rfam family: Bacterial small subunit ribosomal RNA
Source: RNAcentral